GUGAGUCGACCCCUAAGGCGAGGCCGAAAGGCGUAGUCGAUGGGAAACAGGUUAAUAUUCCUGUACUUGGUGUUACUGCGAAGGGGGGACGGAGAAGGCUAUGUCGGCCGGGCGACGGUUGUCCCGGUUUAAGCGUGUAGGCUGACUUUCCAGGCAAAUCCGGAAGGUUAAGGCUGAGGCGUGAUGACGAGGCACCACGGUGCUGAAGUGACAAAUGCCCUGCUUCCAGGAAAAGCCUCUAAGCAUCAGGUAACAUCAAAUCGUACCCCAAACCGACACAGGUGGUCAGGUAGAGAAUACCAAGGCGCUUGAGAGAACUCGGGUGAAGGAACUAGGCAAAAUGGUGCCGUAACUUCGGGAGAAGGCACGCUGACAUGUAGGUGAAGCCCCUGCGGGUGGAGCUGAAGUCAGUCGAAGAUACCAGCUGGCUGCAACUGUUUAUUAAAAACACAGCACUGUGCAAACACGAAAGUGGACGUAUACGGUGUGACGCCUGCCCGGUGCCGGAAGGUUAAUUGAUGGGGUUAUCGCAAGAGAAGCUCCUGAUCGAAGCCCCGGUAAACGGCGGCCGUAACUAUAACGGUCCUAAGGUAGCGAAAUUCCUUGUCGGGUAAGUUCCGACCUGCACGAAUGGCGUAAUGAUGGCCAGGCUGUCUCCACCCGAGACUCAGUGAAAUUGAACUCGCUGUGAAGAUGCAGUGUACCCGCGGCAAGACGGAAAGACCCCGUGAACCUUUACUACAGCUUGACACUGAACAUUGAGCCUUGAUGUGUAGGAUAGGUGGGAGGCUUUGAAGCGUGGACGCCAGUCUGCGUGGAGCCGACCUUGAAAUACCACCCUUUAAUGUUUGAUGUUCUAACCUGGCGCCGUGAUCCGGCGUGGGGACAGUGUCUGGUGGGUAGUUUGACUGGGGCGGUCUCCUCCCAAAGUGUAACGGAGGAGCACGAAGGUCAGCUAAUCCUGGUCGGACAUCAGGAGGUUAGUGCAAUGGCAUAAGCUGGCUUGACUGCGAGAGUGACGGCUCGAGCAGGUGCGAAAGCAGGUCAUAGUGAUCCGGUGGUUCUGUAUGGAAGGGCCAUCGCUCAACGGAUAAAAGGUACUCCGGGGAUAACAGGCUGAUACCGCCCAAGAGUUCAUAUCGACGGCGGUGUUUGGCACCUCGAUGUCGGCUCAUCACAUCCUGGGGCUGAAGUAGGUCCCAAGGGUAUGGCUGUUCGCCAUUUAAAGUGGUACGCGAGCUGGGUUUAGAACGUCGUGAGACAGUUCGGUCCCUAUCUGCCGUGGGCGCUGGAGAAUUGAGGGGGGCUGCUCCCAGUACGAGAGGACCGGAGUGGACGCAUCACUGGUGUUCGGGUUGUCAUGCCAAUGGCACUGCCCGGUAGCUAAAUGCGGAAGAGAUAAGUGCUGAAAGCAUCUAAGCACGAAACUUGCCCCGAGAUGAGUUCUCCCUGAGACUGUAAGUCUCCUGAAGGAACGUUGAAGACGACGACGUUGAUAGGCCGGGUGUGUAAGCGCAGCGAUGCGUUGAGCUAACCGGUACUAAUGAACCGUGAGGCUUAACCUUACAACGCCAAAGAAGU
Molecule: ribosomal RNA, 1581 nt
Filed under: Cronobacter sakazakii
Lineage: Bacteria; Pseudomonadati; Pseudomonadota; Gammaproteobacteria; Enterobacterales; Enterobacteriaceae
Description: bacterial LSU rRNA
Rfam family: Bacterial large subunit ribosomal RNA
Source: RNAcentral